Molecule: non-coding RNA, 29 nt
Filed under: Mus musculus (house mouse)
Lineage: Eukaryota; Metazoa; Chordata; Mammalia; Rodentia; Muridae
Source: RNAcentral
UUCAAGGGUAUCUGUUCUGAUACUGAAGG